RNAcentral lists this transfer RNA (72 nucleotides) under Camelus bactrianus (Bactrian camel). It matches the Rfam family "tRNA". From Rfam's summary of the family: Transfer RNA (tRNA) molecules are approximately 80 nucleotides in length. Their secondary structure includes four short double-helical elements and three loops (D, anti-codon, and T loops). Further hydrogen bonds mediate the characteristic L-shaped molecular structure. tRNAs have two regions of fundamental functional importance: the anti-codon, which is responsible for specific mRNA codon recognition, and the 3' end, to which the tRNAs corresponding amino acid is attached (by aminoacyl-tRNA synthetases). tRNAs cope with the degeneracy of the genetic code in two manners: having more than one tRNA (with a specific anti-codon) for a particular amino acid; and 'wobble' base-pairing, i.e. permitting non-standard base-pairing at the 3rd anti-codon position. RNAcentral also lists the same sequence under 1 other name. Lineage: Eukaryota; Metazoa; Chordata; Mammalia; Artiodactyla; Camelidae. The record is from Rfam by way of RNAcentral.
GAAGGUAUAGCUCAGUGGUAGAGUGCAUGCCUUGCAUGUACAAGGUCCUGAGUUCAAUCCCCAGUACCUCCA